Molecule: ribosomal RNA, 497 nt
Filed under: uncultured bacterium
Lineage: Bacteria
Description: partial 16S ribosomal RNA
Rfam family: Bacterial small subunit ribosomal RNA
Source: RNAcentral
GACGAACGCUGGCGGCGUGCCUAAUACAUGCAAGUUGAGCGCUGAAGGUUGGUACUUGUCCCAACUGGCUGAGCAGCGAACGGGUGAGUAACGCGUGGGGAAUCUGCCUUUGAGCGGGGGACAACAUUUGGAAACGAAUGCUAAUACCGCAUAAAAACUUUAAACACAAGUUUUAAGUUUGAAAGAUGCAAUUGCAUCACUCAAAGAUGAUCCCGCGUUGUAUUAGCUAGUUGGUGAGGUAAAGGCUCACCAAGGCGAUGAUACAUAGCCGACCUGAGAGGGUGAUCGGCCACAUUGGGACUGAGACACGGCCCAAGCUCCUACGGGAGGCAGCAGUAGGGAAUCUUCGGCAAUGGACGAAAGUCUGACCGAGCAACGCCGCGUGAGUGAAGAAGGUUUUCGGAUCGUAAAACUCUGUUGGUAGAGAAGAACGUUGGUGAGAGUGGAAAGCUCAUCAAGUGACGGUAACUACCCAGAAAGGGACGGCUAACUACGUG